GUCUCUGUGGUGCAAUCAGUUAGUGCUAUCAGCUAUUAACUGAAAGGUUGGAGGUUUGAACCCACUUAGGGACG
This 74-nucleotide transfer RNA is filed under the name Bos taurus (domestic cattle). It matches the Rfam family "tRNA". Rfam says of the family: Transfer RNA (tRNA) molecules are approximately 80 nucleotides in length. Their secondary structure includes four short double-helical elements and three loops (D, anti-codon, and T loops). RNAcentral also lists the same sequence under 2 other names. Lineage: Eukaryota; Metazoa; Chordata; Mammalia; Artiodactyla; Bovidae. The record is from Rfam by way of RNAcentral.